Long non-coding RNA from Nyctereutes procyonoides (raccoon dog), 614 nucleotides. RefSeq lists it as uncharacterized. The record is from RefSeq and is a predicted model, not a curated record. The transcript has 3 exons. NCBI's taxonomy places the organism in Eukaryota, Metazoa, Chordata, Mammalia, Carnivora, Canidae.
ACCCUGUUAGACACACGGCUCCCCAGGCCAGACAUCAGCGUUUCAGGACGACGCAGGCUUAACUCAGAGGGAGGAAGGACACAGUUCCCUAAUUGCUAAGAUGUUUCUCACUUCCGUCGAGUCAGGAGCUCAUUGUUCAACAAAGCAGCAUUUGGUUUCUGCCCUGCUCCACCUCGAGGCUCCCUGGGAUCAGGGAAGAGCAUCUCCCCUCCCUUCUUGUCCCAGGAAGUGAAGCUGGAUUCUUCCAAUCAGGAUCCAACCAGCGGGUCUGUCCUCCUGGAGAAGGUGCGUGUGUGCACACACCUGAGUGCCGAAGAGUGUUUUUCCUUAAAGGCUGUGCGAGGGAGGAGAGGUCUUCCAGAUGUGGAAGGGAAGAGAGAGCGAAGGACAGGCGCAGAGGCAAACCACUCGUACCUCAUGCCCAGGCUCUGAGCUGGGCCUUCCCUGAGGCCCGUGCAGCAGAACUUGUGGGCACGGGCAGUGUGACACAGCCAGCAUCGCACAAAGGGCCAAUGUUCCAGACUCAAGACAUGACCGGGAGAAAAAGAGAGCACAAGGAGGGGGAGCUGCAGGCAGAGGCAGAGGGAGAAGCAGACUCCCCACUGAGCAGGGAG